ACUGGACUACGCCAGUAUAAAUAGGCAUUAAGCGUAGUGCGUUCCAGUCUUCACAGACUGGAGGUUGUU
This 69-nucleotide ribozyme is filed under the name unclassified sequences. RNAcentral describes it as "pistol ribozyme". It matches the Rfam family "Pistol ribozyme". The record is from RNAcentral. RNAcentral also lists the same sequence under 1 other name.